GGUUAAGCGAACAAGCGUACACGGUGGAUGCCCUGGCAGUCAGAGGCGAUGAAGGACGUGCUAAUCUGCGAAAAGCGCCGGUAAGGUGAUAUGAACCGUUAUAACCGGCGAUGUCCGAAUGGGGAAACCCGGUGCACUUCGGUGCAUCAUCGUUAGCUGAAUACAUAGGCUAACGAGGCGAACCGGGGGAACUGAAACAUCUAAGUACCCCGAGGAAAAGAAAUCAACCGAGAUUCCCCCAGUAGCGGCGAGCGAACGGGGAACAGCCCAGAGCCUGAAUCAGCUUGUGUGUCAGUGGAACGGUCUGGAAAGGCCGGCGAUACAGGGUGACAGCCCCGUACACGAAGGCACACAGGCUGUGAGCUCGAUGAGUAGGGCGGGACACGUGAUAUCCUGUCUGAAGAUGGGGGGACCAUCCUCCAAGGCUAAAUACUCCUGACUGACCGAUAGUGAACCAGUACCGUGAGGGAAAGGCGAAAAGAACCCCGGCGAGGGGAGUGAAACAGAACCUGAAACCGUGUACGUACAAGCAGUGGGAGCCUUCGUAAGAGGGUGACUGCGUACCUUUUGUAUAAUGGGUCAGCGACUUAUAUUCUGUAGCAAGGUUAACCGUAUAGGGGAGCCGAAGGGAAACCGAGUCUUAAUUGGGCGUUAAGUUGCAGGGUAUAGACCCGAAACCCGGUGAUCUAGCCAUGGGCAGGUUGAAGGUUGGGUAACACUAACUGGAGGACCGAACCGACUAAUGUUGAAAAAUUAGCGGAUGACCUGUGGCUGGGGGUGAAAGGCCAAUCAAACCGGGAGAUAGCUGGUUCUCCCCGAAAGCUAUUUAGGUAGCGCCUCGUGAACUCAUCUCCGGGGGUAGAGCACUGUUUCGGCUAGGGGGCCAUCCCGGCUUACCAACCCGAUGCAAACUGCGAAUACCGGAGAAUGUUAUCACGGGAGACACACGGCGGGUGCUAACGUCCGUCGUGAAGAGGGAAACAACCCAGACCGCCAGCUAAGGUCCCAAAGUCAUGGUUAAGUGGGAAACGAUGUGGGAAGGCCCAGACAGCCAGGAUGUUGGCUUAGAAGCAGCCAUCAUUUAAAGAAAGCGUAAUAGCUCACUGGUCGAGUCGGCCUGCGCGGAAGAUGUAACGGGGCUAAACCAUGCACCGAAGCUGCGGCAGCGACACUAUGUGUUGUUGGGUAGGGGAGCGUUCUGUAAGCCUGCGAAGGUGUGCUGUGAGGCAUGCUGGAGGUAUCAGAAGUGCGAAUGCUGACAUAAGUAACGAUAAAGCGGGUGAAAAGCCCGCUCGCCGGAAGACCAAGGGUUCCUGUCCAACGUUAAUCGGGGCAGGGUGAGUCGACCCCUAAGGCGAGGCCGAAAGGCGUAGUCGAUGGGAAACAGGUUAAUAUUCCUGUACUUGGUGUUACUGCGAAGGGGGGACGGAGAAGGCUAUGUCGGCCGGGCGACGGUUGUCCCGGUUUAAGCGUGUAGGCUGACUUUCCAGGCAAAUCCGGAAGGUUAAGGCUGAGGCGUGAUGACGAGGCACCACGGUGCUGAAGUGACAAAUGCCCUGCUUCCAGGAAAAGCCUCUAAGCAUCAGGUAACAUCAAAUCGUACCCCAAACCGACACAGGUGGUCAGGUAGAGAAUACCAAGGCGCUUGAGAGAACUCGGGUGAAGGAACUAGGCAAAAUGGUGCCGUAACUUCGGGAGAAGGCACGCUGACAUGUAGGUGAAGCCCCUGCGGGUGGAGCUGAAGUCAGUCGAAGAUACCAGCUGGCUGCAACUGUUUAUUAAAAACACAGCACUGUGCAAACACGAAAGUGGACGUAUACGGUGUGACGCCUGCCCGGUGCCGGAAGGUUAAUUGAUGGGGUUAUCGCAAGAGAAGCUCCUGAUCGAAGCCCCGGUAAACGGCGGCCGUAACUAUAACGGUCCUAAGGUAGCGAAAUUCCUUGUCGGGUAAGUUCCGACCUGCACGAAUGGCGUAAUGAUGGCCAGGCUGUCUCCACCCGAGACUCAGUGAAAUUGAACUCGCUGUGAAGAUGCAGUGUACCCGCGGCAAGACGGAAAGACCCCGUGAACCUUUACUACAGCUUGACACUGAACAUUGAGCCUUGAUGUGUAGGAUAGGUGGGAGGCUUUGAAGCGUGGACGCCAGUCUGCGUGGAGCCGACCUUGAAAUACCACCCUUUAAUGUUUGAUGUUCUAACCUGGCGCCGUGAUCCGGCGUGGGGACAGUGUCUGGUGGGUAGUUUGACUGGGGCGGUCUCCUCCCAAAGUGUAACGGAGGAGCACGAAGGUCAGCUAAUCCUGGUCGGACAUCAGGAGGUUAGUGCAAUGGCAUAAGCUGGCUUGACUGCGAGAGUGACGGCUCGAGCAGGUGCGAAAGCAGGUCAUAGUGAUCCGGUGGUUCUGUAUGGAAGGGCCAUCGCUCAACGGAUAAAAGGUACUCCGGGGAUAACAGGCUGAUACCGCCCAAGAGUUCAUAUCGACGGCGGUGUUUGGCACCUCGAUGUCGGCUCAUCACAUCCUGGGGCUGAAGUAGGUCCCAAGGGUAUGGCUGUUCGCCAUUUAAAGUGGUACGCGAGCUGGGUUUAGAACGUCGUGAGACAGUUCGGUCCCUAUCUGCCGUGGGCGCUGGAGAAUUGAGGGGGGCUGCUCCCAGUACGAGAGGACCGGAGUGGACGCAUCACUGGUGUUCGGGUUGUCAUGCCAAUGGCACUGCCCGGUAGCUAAAUGCGGAAGAGAUAAGUGCUGAAAGCAUCUAAGCACGAAACUUGCCCCGAGAUGAGUUCUCCCUGAGACUGUAAGUCUCCUGAAGGAACGUUGAAGACGACGACGUUGAUAGGCCGGGUGUGUAAGCGCAGCGAUGCGUUGAGCUAACCGGUACUAAUGAACCGUGAGGCUUAACCUUAC
This 2904-nucleotide ribosomal RNA is filed under the name Cronobacter sakazakii SP291. RNAcentral's name for it is "bacterial LSU rRNA". It matches the Rfam family "Bacterial large subunit ribosomal RNA". The record is from RNAcentral. Lineage: Bacteria; Pseudomonadati; Pseudomonadota; Gammaproteobacteria; Enterobacterales; Enterobacteriaceae.